Sus scrofa (pig) is the source of this 2600-nucleotide non-coding RNA. NCBI's taxonomy places the organism in Eukaryota, Metazoa, Chordata, Mammalia, Artiodactyla, Suidae. The record is from RefSeq and is a predicted model, not a curated record.
CAAUGCCGGAUCCUUAACCCACUGAUCGAGGCCAGGGAUCAAACCUGCAACCUCGUGGUUCCUAGUCGGAUUCGUUUCCGCUGUGCCAUGACUGGAACUGCUGCCCUCUCUUGAUUUAUUUGCUGACGGUGGUUAGAGGAAGGCUUGAAGGAAGGAAUGAAGUUUGAGCAAGGUCAUGAAAAUGUGGUCCAGGAGUUCCAGGCAUCCGAGGCUGGAGACCGUGUGAUGGAUGCCUUGGAGGGAGCAGGUGUCCAUCAGGUGGCCUUGAACAGGUGAGGCCGACUCCUGUUCCUGUUGGACAACAAUAAACAUUUAAUCGUUGACGGGAAAGUGGACACCGUCCUUGAAGGAAAAGACUUCAGGCAGGGAAGGGCUGGGGCGUACUUUAAAGGCAGAAAUGUGUCUGGAAAUGUGUCUUCUCUGACUUGCGGCCCCACAGCCCGUAAAGCCUCUCUGAGUCCAGAUUCGCCCCCACUCGAGCCACGAUCGCAUCCGGUCCCUGCUCAGAAGCUUUCCAGGGCUCUGUGUCGUGUAGACGUCAAACCCCAGGUGCUUUGUUGGUGGAGCCAGUUUGUCCCGGCACAGCUGUCCCCAGGCAUCUUCUACUUUCUUCCAGGAGCCCUCCUGGCGGGCCAGCGCGCCCUCCUCGCCAGCACUCUGGUGCCUGUGUGUUUCUGCUUGUCCCUGGCCUGCAAAGUCCGUGGUCCCCCCACCUCCAGCCCUCAGGGCGGACUCCCUGCCCUGCUCACGCCUGUCCCUGGUCUUUGUGGAUUUCACUCACCCACACGCCUUUCCUUUGGUGACGCCAGCAGUCCCCUCCCCACCAGAUCAGAUGGUAAACGCGCUGCUGGAGGGUGAGAACUGCAUGUUCCCUUCUCCCCCCUGCCCACCCCCCGCCCCUGCCCCGAGUACCCAGCAUUGUCUGAUUGAUAGAGGGCUUUAUUGCCACUAGGGAGGUUUCUGAGGCGCUUGUGAAUGUACCAAGCCAUUUCAAAGACGUUUUAUUAACGUGAAGUGAAGCCACCUUUCUGAAGGCUAUAGAAAAACAGACUUUUAAAAUCAGAAUUCCCAUCUGAGUAAUAAAUUCAAUUACAUUUUUGGAUUAAAAAAAGAAAAGAGGUGAUAUUGGUUUUGCAUUUCUUCUCCGCCCUGUUUCCAGGCAACCUUGAACUUGUCCAAUAAAAAAGUCGAAACAAAAGACUGUGAGAUGCACGACCUUAGCCCGAAAAUUCCACCCUUAGCUGGCCAGACACAUGACUUGGCGUUGUAACCAGGCGCUCCUAAAAGGCCAGCCCCUCUUUUCCCAUAUUAGGGGGGUUUUGGGGGGGUGAUUUUAGGAAGAAUGCUUGGUGUCAAGGACAUAGGCUUUAGAGUUACAUACUCUGAGUAACUUGAAUUUUGAGGUUUUUGCUGUGAAAUUGGGAAAAAUCCUUGAAAACUUUCUGAGCUUUGGUUUCUGUGUCUGAAAUGAUCGGCCAAGCAGCCUGCUCCCCCACGGCGUGACUGCAGAGUUGACAAAGUAACAAAGAUGCCUUUUGUCCCAUGUCAUCACCGCCACCCCCGGAAGCAAGGGCAGAGCAGCAGAGGCGGGCGCUCGGAAUUUCUGCCCCGCCAGGCACUCAGUAGCACCCCGGAACCUCCCCUCCCCGGGCACGGCUCUGCCUCUCAGAGCCACCUUCCCGGAGCCAGAGCCAGAACCCCUGCUGGGCUGGACCUUCUUGUCGUCCGACUCCUUCAUCCGUGGGCAGCGGUGGCUCACGCCAUCCCACCCCCCACCUUGGCCCUUGACGUCAGAUUACACUCCUUUCCAGCCAGUGGGGCCAGUUUGGGGGUGACCCUGGGAUGACAGCAGGAGUCUCCUCCACGGUCGGAGGGAGGGAGUGCGUGCCUUCCCUGAAUCAUUGGAAGGGCCCAAGCUCACAGGCUUUGCUCAGCAGAGGGCUGCCACACCCUUGCCGGGGAGGUUCGAGUUAAGUUAAAAGCAACAGGAGCUGGUUCUCAGCUGGGGGACCGGGGCAGGGGGCUGAGCAGAUUUCCCUCCCCUGCCCUCACCCCAUCCCCAGUCUGCUCAUUCUUUGCUUUUCCUUUCUUUUUUCUUUUUUUUUUGUCCACAGCUCACGGCAACGCUGGCUCCUUAACCCACUGAGUGAAGCCAGGGAUCGAACCCAUGUCCUCAUGGAUACUGGCCAGGUUUGUUACCACUGAGCCACAGAGGGAACUCCCUGCACUCUGCUCUUUCUUCCUCGUUUCUUUCUCGGCCUUUCCUCUCCCCCCUGGACCAGAGCAAUUAGUUCGGCUCGGAGGUGGGAGGAGAGCCGGGAAAGGACGAGCCCAGGAGGUGAGGUCCCGCCAGCUCUCUCCUGUCUGGACCGGAGGUGCCUGAACACAUGGACCACUCAGACGUAAAGGGACCCAACUUCGUUCCCAUCGGUCGGUCAUAAUUCUGCCCCUGGAAGAACAGAGGCAGGGAAGACCUGCCCGCUGUGCUGGAGCUGUCCGUGGUCCUGACAAGGCUGGCAGCAAUAAAGCCAUAAUCAGCUUAUCAAAGGAAGAAGCACAAGAAGCCAGAAGCACGUCCCUUAAUAAAGAUCUUGCUCUUA